This is a long non-coding RNA of Mesocricetus auratus (golden hamster), 2386 nucleotides long. RefSeq lists it as uncharacterized. NCBI's taxonomy places the organism in Eukaryota, Metazoa, Chordata, Mammalia, Rodentia, Cricetidae. The transcript has 3 exons. The record is from RefSeq and is a predicted model, not a curated record.
UGCGUGCCAGCUGACACACCACCUCUCUCGGUAACUGUCCUCCAGCUCGGACGCCCAGGACAAGUACAGUCGGCCUCAAUUUGCAGCUGAAUCAUGCAACCCAGCGGCCCUCGGGAUAGCAAGGGUCCCCGGCUUUCCCACCCUACCAAGCUGUAUCAGCGCGUGACAGCCGCGACUGGAUGGCCUAAGGCGUUCCAACAGAGAGGAGAGAAGCCAGAGUGACGCUCAGCGUCGGAAACACGAAGGUGGCCGAGUGCUGCUUCCAGAGUUUGGAUGACAGCAACAAAGCUUCUCGAUUUUCAUACUGAAGAUGUACAGCCAGCUUGUUGUUCAGGACCAUGACCAGGAGGCACCUACCUAACCACAACUGGAAAAUGAGCUCAAAACUGCAACCGACUCCAGUGCAGGAGAUGACAGGGGUGAGAGCCUUGCCCUUCUCAAGCUCGGCCAUGCCUGGAGGGGUGAGCGGCCAGGAGCAGACAGCUCUGCCUCACUGUAGACACAGAACGCUCACUCAUCCCACGCCAUGCUGAUGAGCCAACCGUCUGGAUUGUGAAGUAGACCCCACCUGCUGCUGACACCUGGGGAGACGCGGAUCACAGGCCAGGAGGCGGGUCAGAAGCUGGGGCUCACAGCCGCAGGUGGAGACACCCUUUUGCUAACAAAAGACUCUUCAGGAGCCACAAGCUGGCCUCACAGAAGCUGGUCCUGCACAGCAGCAAGGUGCCUGUGUUGCAAGGGGGAGGUAAAAACCACCCUCUCCUCCUCCUCCCUCUCUUCCUCCCUCCCUCUCUCUCUCUCCUCUCUUUCUCUUCUCUCUCUUCCCCCCUUUCUCUACCUCUCAAAGUCCUAUCAAACUAGGAAGUAGCAGGUCCCCAACAGAUUUCACAAAGAGACAAGAAAAUAUCCACAUUCUGUGGCACUAGGCUUAGCUAUCCUAAAGAGGGCUGUGCUAAGCAAAGUCCCAAGUUCCAUGUCCCUUUAUAUCAUGCAUGGUUUACUGGACCCAUCUGAUUAUCUUAUCAUUACUGUGCGGAAGUGUCUGAGACAGGAUUUUGCCCAGUUUGGCUUAGAGAACUCUGAUCCUGCUGCCUUUGCCUUCUGAGUACUAGGAUGACAGGUGUGUGUCACCGUACAAAAUUUAUCCAGACUUUUAGUUGUGGGAUAAAACAGCCUAAGGUAAUACUGAAUGUUAAUGUUUAAAAUAAGUUAAAAUGUAAAAGAUAAGACUUCAUAAGCCACCCAAUACAGCUUUUAUGAUUUUGAUUUAAAUUUCUUGUUUAAUUAGCUAAAUUAGUUCCUCAAAAAACAGGCACCACUUACUAAUUUUAAUGAGUUUAAAAUGGAAAGACAUUGGCCAGGUAAAAUGGCUCAGCAGGUACAAGUGGUUGCUUCACAACCCACAACCUAUAUGCAAAACCGGAUUGUGGUGUGCACCUGUAAUCCCAGUACGCCUCUAAGACACCUGGUGUGCACCUGUAAUCCCAGCAAUCCUCUGCUGAGACACCUGGUGUGCACCUGUAAUCCCAGUACGCCUCUAAGACACCUGGUGUGCACCUGUAAUCCCAGCAAUCCUCUGCUGAGACACCUGGUGUGCACCUGUAAUCCCAGCAAUCCUCUGCUGAGACACCUGGUGUGCACCUCCUCUAAGACAACUAAUGUGUACCUGUGAUUCCAGCACUCCUCUGCUGAGACACAAACCAGGAACACUUACAUGACAGAAACAAGACCCUUAGAAAACUAAGUCUGAGAAACUGUCCUCUGUCUGAUUGGCCAUGACAGGUGCAUAUCUAUACUCGCAUGAAUUCAUGACACAUACAAAUACUGAAAACAUACGUGUGUGUGUGUGUGUGUGUGUGUGUGUGUGUGUGUGUGUGUAGGCGCAAGUCAGCAACAACAGACUAGAACUGACAGGAUGAAUAUAUACAUUCAUACACAUCACAUGUAUAUGUAUAUAUAUACAUACAUGCAUAGGUAUGUGUAUAUAUACAUAUAUAUGAUUUAUUAGACUGGCUUGCAGAAGAGAGGAAGAAAAGACAAAUUUAAAGUGUCAUGCUACACACACUUGCAAAUACGUAACGUGCAUGGAUCACACUUUCUGUAACUAAGAAGAUGACUGCAGCAGAUCAUAAAUUUAGUCAACACCUUCAGAGCAACCCUCCUCCCGGUACUAAGCAACGCAAACACACCACCGAAACAGCCAGGGUUCUAAACUCCCCACUGCCAUUUCUUCCACCACAUCAUUUCCUGGAUAAGCUUUCUCAUGCCUGAGGCAGGUCAGGGUGCCAGCCACAGGAAGACGCGCCACGAAAGGCUGAGCUCUUCAGCUGCAUCCUGAAGGAACUUGACCAGCCUUGUCCACCUCCCCGGCGGCACGGGGUGGGGC